RNAcentral lists this ribosomal RNA (1179 nucleotides) under Escherichia coli. Its description in RNAcentral is "bacterial LSU rRNA". It matches the Rfam family "Bacterial large subunit ribosomal RNA", at positions 1 to 1212 of the family's 2925-position model. Lineage: Bacteria; Pseudomonadati; Pseudomonadota; Gammaproteobacteria; Enterobacterales; Enterobacteriaceae. The record is from RNAcentral.
GGGUUGUGAGGUUAAGCGACUAAGCGUACACGGUGGAUGCCCUGGCAGUCAGAGGCGAUGAAGGACGUGCUAAUCUGCGAUAAGCGUCGGUAAGGUGAUAUGAACCGUUAUAACCGGCGAUUUCCGAAUGGGGAAACCCAGUGUGUUUCGACACACUAUCAUUAACUGAAUCCAUAGGUUAAUGAGGCGAACCGGGGGAACUGAAACAUCUAAGUACCCCGAGGAAAAGAAAUCAACCGAGAUUCCCCCAGUAGCGGCGAGCGAACGGGGAGCAGCCCAGAGCCUGAAUCAGUAUGUGUGUUAGUGGAAGCGUCUGGAAAGGCGCGCGAUACAGGGUGACAGCCCCGUACACAAAAAUGCACAUAUUGUGAGCUCGAUGAGUAGGGCGGGACACGUGGUAUCCUGUCUGAAUAUGGGGGGACCAUCCUCCAAGGCUAAAUACUCCUGACUGACCGAUAGUGAACCAGUACCGUGAGGGAAAGGCGAAAAGAACCCCGGCGAGGGGAGUGAAAAAGAACCUGAAACCGUGUACGUACAAGCAGUGGGAGCACGCUUAGGCGUGUGACUGCGUACCUUUUGUAUAAUGGGUCAGCGACUUAUAUUCUGUAGCAAGGUUAACCGAAUAGGGGAGCCGAAGGGAAACCGAGUCUUAACUGGGCGUUAAGUUGCAGGGUAUAGACCCGAAACCCGGUGAUCUAGCCAUGGGCAGGUUGAAGGUUGGGUAACACUAACUGGAGGACCGAACCGACUAAUGUUGAAAAAUUAGCGGAUGACUUGUGGCUGGGGGUGAAAGGCCAAUCAAACCGGGAGAUAGCUGGUUCUCCCCGAAAGCUAUUUAGGUAGCGCCUCGUGAAUUCAUCUCCGGGGGUAGAGCACUGUUUCGGCAAGGGGGUCAUCCCGACUUACCAACCCGAUGCAAACUGCGAAUACCGGAGAAUGUUAUCACGGGAGACACACGGCGGGUGCUAACGUCCGUCGUGAAGAGGGAAACAACCCAGACCGCCAGCUAAGGUCCCAAAGUCAUGGUUAAGUGGGAAACGAUGUGGGAAGGCCCAGACAGCCAGGAUGUUGGCUUAGAAGCAGCCAUCAUUUAAAGAAAGCGUAAUAGCUCACUGGUCGAGUCGGCCUGCGCGGAAGAUGUAACGGGGCUAAACCAUGCACCGAAGCUGCGGCAGCGAC